UACGUAGGUCCCGAGCGUUGUCCGGAUUUAUUGGGCGUAAAGCGAGCGCAGGUGGUUUAAUAAGUCUGAUGUAAAAGGCAGUGGCUCAACCAUUGUGUGCAUUGGAAACUGUUAGACUUGAGUGCAGUAGAGGAGAGUGGAAUUCCAUGUGUAGCGGUGAAAUGCGUAGAUAUAUGGAGGAACACCGGUGGCGUAAGCGGCUCUCUGGACUGUAACUGACACUGAGGCUCGAAAGCGUGGGUAGCAAACAGG
Molecule: ribosomal RNA, 252 nt
Filed under: uncultured microorganism
Description: partial 16S ribosomal RNA
Rfam family: Bacterial small subunit ribosomal RNA
Source: RNAcentral